AAGGCUUUAAGUUAAUAAAACUAAUAACCUUCAAAGUUAUAAUUAAAAGGAAUCUUUUAAGCCUUA
RNAcentral lists this transfer RNA (66 nucleotides) under Marellia remipes. RNAcentral's name for it is "tRNA-Trp". Lineage: Eukaryota; Metazoa; Arthropoda; Insecta; Orthoptera; Acrididae. The record is from RNAcentral.